This 505-nucleotide ribosomal RNA is filed under the name uncultured bacterium. RNAcentral describes it as "partial 16S ribosomal RNA". It matches the Rfam family "Bacterial small subunit ribosomal RNA", at positions 28 to 507 of the family's 1533-position model. The record is from RNAcentral.
GACGAACGCUGGCGGCGUGCCUAAUACAUGCAAGUAGAACGCACAGUUUAUACCGUAGCUUGCUACACCAUAGACUGUGAGUUGCGAACGGGUGAGUAACGCGUAGGUAACCUGCCUGGUAGCGGGGGAUAACUAUUGGAAACGAUAGCUAAUACCGCAUAAUAUUGAUUAUUGCAUGAUAAUUGAUUGAAAGAUGCUAUUGCAUCACUACCAGAUGGACCUGCGUUGUAUUAGCUAGUAGGUGAGGUAACGGCUCACCUAGGCGACGAUACAUAGCCGACCUGAGAGGGUGAUCGGCCACACUGGGACUGAGACACGGCCCAGACUCCUACGGGAGGCAGCAGUAGGGAAGCUUCGGCAAUAGACGAAAGUCUGACCGAGCAACGCCGCGUGAGUGAAGAAGGUUUUCGGAUCGUAAAGCUCUGUUGUAAGAGAAGAACGGGUGUGAGAGUGGAAAGUUCACACUGUGACGGUAUCUUACCAGAAAGGGACGGCUAACUACGUG